UAGGGAAUCUUCGGCAAUGGGGGCAACCCUGACCGAGCAACGCCGCGUGAGUGAAGAAGGUUUUCGGGUCGUAAAGCUCUGUUGUAAGUCAAGAACGAGUGUGAGAGUGGAAAGUUCACACUGUGACGGUAGCUUACCAGAAAGGGACGGCUAACUACGUGCCAGCAGCCGCGGUAAUACGUAGGUCCCGAGCGUUGUCCGGAUUUAUUGGGCGUAAAGCGAGCGCAGGCGGUUUGAUAAGUCUGAAGUUAAAGGCUGUGGCUCAACCAUAGUUCGCUUUGGAAACUGUCAAACUUGAGUGCAGAAGGGGAGAGUGGAAUUCCAUGUGUAGCGGUGAAAUGCGUAGAUAUAUGGAGGAACACCGGUGGCGAAAGCGGCUCUCUGGUCUGUAACUGACGCUGAGGCUCGAAAGCGUGGGGAGCGAACAGGAUUAGAUACCCUGGUAGUCCACGCCGUAACGAUGAGUGCUAGGUGUUGGAUCCUUUCCGGGAUUCAGUGCCGCAGCUAACGCAUUAAGCACUCCGCCUGGGGAGUACGACCGCAAGGUUG
RNAcentral lists this ribosomal RNA (549 nucleotides) under uncultured bacterium. RNAcentral describes it as "bacterial SSU rRNA". It matches the Rfam family "Bacterial small subunit ribosomal RNA", at positions 355 to 896 of the family's 1533-position model. The record is from RNAcentral.